ACGAAUCGUACGAAUCCUGUAUCAGUGAUUGGAAUGAUGGGAAUUUAAACCUCUUCCAGAGUAUCAAUUGGAGGGCAAGUCUGGUGCCAGCAGCCGCGGUAAUUCCAGCUCCAAUAGCGUAUAUUAAAAUUGUUGCAGUUAAAAAGCUCGUAGUUGAAUUUCUGCUGCAUUACAUUUCUCUUGCUUAAGUUGGUUUUUGUGGCUAAUUUCGGUUGGAUUUUUUUUUCCUGACGAAUAAUUACUUAAAAAAAAAUAGAUUGAACAAAGCUUGUUUCUGCCAUGAAUUAUUAAGGAAGAAAUAAUAAAGAAUUACUUUCUUUUUUUUUGGUUGUUUGUACCAACCAAAUGGAUGAUAAAAACAAUCGGGUGGG
Molecule: ribosomal RNA, 371 nt
Filed under: Theileria orientalis
Lineage: Eukaryota; Apicomplexa; Aconoidasida; Piroplasmida; Theileriidae
Description: partial 18S ribosomal RNA
Rfam family: Eukaryotic small subunit ribosomal RNA
Source: RNAcentral